UAUUUUUAAUUGACUUAAUUGACAUAGACCAAGUCCUAUAGUAAAAUGAGGAUGA
This 55-nucleotide transfer RNA is filed under the name Causonis corniculata. RNAcentral describes it as "Cayratia corniculata partial tRNA-Phe". The record is from RNAcentral. Lineage: Eukaryota; Viridiplantae; Streptophyta; Magnoliopsida; Vitales; Vitaceae.